AACGAACGCUGGUGGCAUGCCUAUCACAUGCAAGUCGAACGAGAUCUUCGGGUCUAGUGGCGCACGGGUGCGUAACGCGUGGGAAUCUGCCCUUUGGUUCGGAAUAACAGUUGGAAACGACUGCUAAUACCGGAUGAUGACGAAAGUCCAAAGAUUUGUCGCCAGAGGAUGAGCCCGCGUAGGAUGAGCUAGUUGGUGUGAUAAAAGCGCACCAAGGCGACGAUCGGUAGCUGGUCUGAGAGGAGGAUCAGCCACACGGGGACUGCGACACGGCCCAGAAUCCGACGGGAGGCAUCAGUGGUGAAUAUUGGACAAUGGGCGAAAGCCUGAUCCAGCAAUGCCGCGUGAGUGAUGAAGGCCUUAGGGUUGUAAGGCUCUUUUACCCGGGAUGAUAAUGACAGUACCGUGAGAAUAAGCUCCGGCUAACUCCGUGCCAGCAGCCGCAGUAA
RNAcentral lists this ribosomal RNA (449 nucleotides) under uncultured bacterium. RNAcentral's name for it is "partial 16S ribosomal RNA". It matches the Rfam family "Bacterial small subunit ribosomal RNA", at positions 29 to 523 of the family's 1533-position model. The record is from RNAcentral.